Molecule: ribosomal RNA, 715 nt
Filed under: uncultured Pseudomonadota bacterium
Lineage: Bacteria; Pseudomonadati; Pseudomonadota
Description: bacterial SSU rRNA
Rfam family: Bacterial small subunit ribosomal RNA
Source: RNAcentral
CAGGCCUAACACAUGCAAGUCGAGCGGAUGAGAAGAGCUUGCUCUUCGAUUCAGCGGCGGACGGGUGAGUAAUGCCUAGGAAUCUGCCUGGUAGUGGGGGACAACGUUUCGAAAGGAACGCUAAUACCGCAUACGUCCUACGGGAGAAAGCAGGGGACCUUCGGGCCUUGCGCUAUCAGAUGAGCCUAGGUCGGAUUAGCUAGUUGGUGAGGUAAUGGCUCACCAAGGCGACGAUCCGUAACUGGUCUGAGAGGAUGAUCAGUCACACUGGAACUGAGACACGGUCCAGACUCCUACGGGAGGCAGCAGUGGGGAAUAUUGGACAAUGGGCGAAAGCCUGAUCCAGCCAUGCCGCGUGUGUGAAGAAGGUCUUCGGAUUGUAAAGCACUUUAAGUUGGGAGGAAGGGCAGUAAGUUAAUACCUUGCUGUUUUGACGUUACCGACAGAAUAAGCACCGGCUAACUCUGUGCCAGCAGCCGCGGUAAUACAGAGGGUGCAAGCGUUAAUCGGAAUUACUGGGCGUAAAGCGCGCGUAGGUGGUUCGUUAAGUUGGAUGUGAAAGCCCCGGGCUCAACCUGGGAACUGCAUCCAAAACUGGCGAGCUAGAGUAUGGUAGAGGGUGGUGGAAUUUCCUGUGUAGCGGUGAAAUGCGUAGAUAUAGGAAGGAACACCAGUGGCGAAGGCGACCACCUGGACUGAUACUGACACUGAGGUG